This 464-nucleotide ribosomal RNA is filed under the name uncultured Klebsiella sp. RNAcentral's name for it is "bacterial SSU rRNA". It matches the Rfam family "Bacterial small subunit ribosomal RNA", at positions 338 to 795 of the family's 1533-position model. The record is from RNAcentral. Lineage: Bacteria; Pseudomonadati; Pseudomonadota; Gammaproteobacteria; Enterobacterales; Enterobacteriaceae.
CCUACGGGUGGCAGCAGUGGGGAAUAUUGCACAAUGGGCGCAAGCCUGAUGCAGCCAUGCCGCGUGUGUGAAGAAGGCCUUCGGGUUGUAAAGCACUUUCAGCGGGGAGGAAGGCGUUAAGGUUAAUAACCUUGUCGAUUGACGUUACCCGCAGAAGAAGCACCGGCUAACUCCGUGCCAGCAGCCGCGGUAAUACGGAGGGUGCAGGCGUUAAUCGGAAUUACUGGGCGUAAAGCGCACGCAGGCGGUCUGUCAAGUUGGAUGUGAAAUCCCCGGGCUCAACCUGGGAACUGCAUUCGAAACUGGCGGGCUAGAGUCUUGUAGAGGGGGGUAGAAUUCCAGGUGUAGCGGUGAAAUGCGUAGAGAUCUGGAGGAAUACCGGUGGCGAAGGCGGCCCCCUGGACAAAGACUGACGCUCAGGUGCGAAAGCGUGGGGAGCAAACAGGAUUAAUACCCUUGUAGUC